ACGGCCCUACGGGGGGCAGCAGUAGGGAAUCUUCCACAAUGGACGAAAGUCUGAUGGAGCAACGCCGCGUGAGUGAAGAAGGGUUUCGGCUCGUAAAGCUCUGUUGGUAGUGAAGAAAGAUAGAGGUAGUAACUGGCCUUUAUUUGACGGUAAUUACUUAGAAAGUCACGGCUAACUACGUGCCAGCAACCGCGGUAAUACGUAGGUGGCAAGCGUUUUCCGGAUUUAUUGGGCGUAAAGCGAGUGCCGGCGGUUCAAUAAGUCUGAUGUGUAAACCUUCUGGGCCAACGGAGAAAUUC
Molecule: ribosomal RNA, 299 nt
Filed under: uncultured bacterium
Lineage: Bacteria
Description: partial 16S ribosomal RNA
Rfam family: Bacterial small subunit ribosomal RNA
Source: RNAcentral